RNAcentral lists this ribosomal RNA (952 nucleotides) under Salmonella enterica. Its description in RNAcentral is "partial 23S ribosomal RNA". It matches the Rfam family "Bacterial large subunit ribosomal RNA", at positions 336 to 1288 of the family's 2925-position model. Lineage: Bacteria; Pseudomonadati; Pseudomonadota; Gammaproteobacteria; Enterobacterales; Enterobacteriaceae. The record is from RNAcentral.
AAGCGUCUGGAAAGGCGCGCGAUACAGGGUGACAGCCCCGUACACAAAAGCGCAUGUGCUGUGAGCUCGAUGAGUAGGGCGGGACACGUGGUAUCCUGUCUGAAUAUGGGGGGACCAUCCUCCAAGGCUAAAUACUCCUGACUGACCGAUAGUGAACCAGUACCGUGAGGGAAAGGCGAAAAGAACCCCGGCGAGGGGAGUGAAAAAGAACCUGAAACCGUGUACGUACAAGCAGUGGGAGCACAGGUUUACCUGUGUGACUGCGUACCUUUUGUAUAAUGGGUCAGCGACUUAUAUUCUGUAGCAAGGUUAACCGAAUAGGGGAGCCGGAGGGAAACCGAGUCUUAAUUGGGCGUUAAGUUGCAGGGUAUAGACCCGAAACCCGGUGAUCUAGCCAUGGGCAGGUUGAAGGUUGGGUAACACUAACUGGAGGACCGAACCGACUAAUGUUGAAAAAUUAGCGGAUGACCUGUGGCUGGGGGUGAAAGGCCAAUCAAACCGGGAGAUAGCUGGUUCUCCCCGAAAGCUAUUUAGGUAGCGCCUCGUGAAUUCAUCUCCGGGGGUAGAGCACUGUUUCGGCUAGGGGGCCAUCCCGGCUUACCAACCCGAUGCAAACUGCGAAUACCGGAGAAUGUUAUCACGGGAGACACACGGCGGGUGCUAACGUCCGUCGUGAAGAGGGAAACAACCCAGACCGCCAGCUAAGGUCCCAAAGUCAUGGUUAAGUGGGAAACGAUGUGGGAAGGCCCAGACAGCCAGGAUGUUGGCUUAGAAGCAGCCAUCAUUUAAAGAAAGCGUAAUAGCUCACUGGUCGAGUCGGCCUGCGCGGAAGAUGUAACGGGGCUAAACCAUGCACCGAAGCUGCGGCAGCGACGCUGAUGCGUUGUUGGGUAGGGGAGCGUUCUGUAAGCCUGCGAAGGUGUGUCGUGAGGCAUGCUGGAGGUAUCAGAAG